Molecule: ribosomal RNA, 828 nt
Filed under: uncultured bacterium
Lineage: Bacteria
Description: bacterial SSU rRNA
Rfam family: Bacterial small subunit ribosomal RNA
Source: RNAcentral
GCGAGCGGCGGAUGGGUGAGUAACACGUGGGGAACCUGCCCCUAAGUCUGGGAUACCAUUUGGAAACAGGUGCUAAUACCGGAUAAUAAAGCAGAUCGCAUGAUCAGCUUUUGAAAGGCGGCGUAAGCUGUCGCUAAGGGAUGGCCCCGCGGUGCAUUAGCUAGUUGGUAAGGUAACGGCUUACCAAGGCGACGAUGCAUAGCCGAGUUGAGAGACUGAUCGGCCACAUUGGGACUGAGACACGGCCCAAACUCCUACGGGAGGCAGCAGUAGGGAAUCUUCCACAAUGGACGCAAGUCUGAUGGAGCAACGCCGCGUGAGUGAAGAAGGUUUUCGGAUCGUAAAGCUCUGUUGUUGGUGAAGAAGGAUAGAGGUAGUAACUGGCCUUUAUUUGACGGUAAUCAACCAGAAAGUCACGGCUAACUACGUGCCAGCAGCCGCGGUAAUACGUAGGUGGCAAGCGUUGUCCGGAUUUAUUGGGCGUAAAGCGAGCGCAGGCGGAAAAAUAAGUCUAAUGUGAAAGCCCUCGGCUUAACCGAGGAACUGCAUCGGAAACUGUUUUUCUUGAGUGCAGAAGAGGAGAGUGGAACUCCAUGUGUAGCGGUGGAAUGCGUAGAUAUAUGGAAGAACACCAGUGGCGAAGGCGGCUCUCUGGUCUGCAACUGACGCUGAGGCUCGAAAGCAUGGGUAGCGAACAGGAUUAGAUACCCUGGUAGUCCAUGCCGUAAACGAUGAGUGCUAAUUGUUGGGAGGUUUCCGCCUCUCAGUGCUGCAGCUAAACGCAUUAAGCACUCCGCCUGGGGAAGUACGACCGCCAGGUUGAAACUC